AACGAACGCUGGCGGCAUGCCUAACACAUGCAAGUCGAACGAGACCUUCGGGUCUAGUGGCGCACGGGUGCGUAACGCGUGGGAACCUACCCUUAGGCUCGGAAUAACUCCUCGACAGGGGUGCUAAUACCGGAUAAUGUCUUCUGACCAAAGAUUCAUCGUCUUUGGAUGGGCCCGCGUUGGUUUAGCUAGUGGGUAGGGUAAAAGCCUACCACGGCUUCGAUCCAUAGCUGGUCUGAGAGGAUGGGCAGCGACACUGGGACUGAGACACGGCCCAGACUCCUACGGGAGGCAGCAGUGGGGAAUAUUGGAAAAUGGGGGAAAGCAUGAACCAGCAAGGCCGCGUGAGUGAUGAAGGCCUUAGGGAUGUAAAGCUCGUUUACCCGGGAUGAUAAUGACGGUACCGGGAGAAUAAGCUCCGGCUAACUCCGUG
Molecule: ribosomal RNA, 433 nt
Filed under: uncultured bacterium
Lineage: Bacteria
Description: partial 16S ribosomal RNA
Rfam family: Bacterial small subunit ribosomal RNA
Source: RNAcentral